AUUGAACGCUGGCGGCAUGCCUUACACAUGCAAGUCGAACGGCAGCACGGGUGCUUGCACCUGGUGGCGAGUGGCGAACGGGUGAGUAAUACAUCGGAACGUACCUUAUCGUGGGGGAUAACGCAGCGAAAGCUGUGCUAAUACCGCAUACGCCCUGAGGGGGAAAGCGGGGGAUCGCAAGACCUCGCGCGAUUAGAGCGGCCGAUGCCUGAUUAGCUAGUUGGUGGGGUAAAAGCCCACCAAGGCGACGAUCAGUAGCUGGUCUGAGAGGACGAGCAGCCACACUGGGACGGAGACACGGCCCAGACUCCUACGGGAGGCAGCAGUGGGGAAUUUUGGACAAUGGGUGCAACCCUGAUCCAGCAAUGCCGCGUGAGUGAAGAAGGCCUUCGGGUUGUAAAGCUCUUUUGUCAGGGAAGAAACACCGGCUCUAACACAGUCCGGGAAUGACGGUACCUGAAGAAUAAGCACCGGCUAACUACGUGCCAGCCGCCGCCGUAA
This 501-nucleotide ribosomal RNA is filed under the name uncultured bacterium. RNAcentral's name for it is "partial 16S ribosomal RNA". It matches the Rfam family "Bacterial small subunit ribosomal RNA", at positions 29 to 523 of the family's 1533-position model. The record is from RNAcentral.